AUCUUGGAUUCAAGUGAUCCUCCUGCCUUGGCUUCCCAAAGUGCUGGGAUUACAGGCAUGAGCCACCAUGGCCAGCCAGAUACUUAUUUUGAAAGUAUGUCCUGUAGUUACAGAUCUUAAAAAAUAAAGCCUGAUGCUUUAUUCACAUAAGAAUAAAAGGCUGCCAAAUUUAUAUAAUAUCCUCCCAAACCAGUGUAUUUUAAAGAUAGUGAUGCAGUAUCUAUUGUUGAAGUUUUCAUCAAUUUCAGACUUUCCAUUUGAAAUGAAGUACUAUUAUACUAUUAAUAUCCUUCAAAUAUUCUAACUUGAUAUCUUGGCACCAUAGACAACUACAGUAGCUAGUUUAAUCAGUGUGUUGUUUAUAUUUGGCAAUGCAGUUUUGAGCAAUUCAAUACUAUAUAUAAUUUGCAGCAAUACUUAAUAUUUAAGACUUUCAUAUAGGGAUAUUAGCAAAUAUCAACUGAUCUAAAAUGUUUUAUAAGUCCAUGCUAAUUUCUAGAUUCAUGUUUUAGCCAUAUAAAUGCAGUAUUUAAUAAUAUUGUAUUUUCCAAAUUAUGGAAAGCUCCAGAAAUAGAAAUAUUCAAUAUAAUUACUACUCGCUAAUCUUUUUUCUAGGUUGAAAAAUCUUUGUUUUGCUUUAGGUUAGAUUAUGUUAAAACACAUCUGUGUUUCAGAUGUGUUCAGAGCUGAGGUCUCAGCUGAGGCUCCACUGAAGCAGGAUUCACUUCCAAAAUAAGAGUUGUUGCCAGUAUUCAGUUCCUAGCAAACUACUGGAACAAGAAUCUGUUUUCCUGCUGACUUAAUUUCUUGCCAUGUGGCCCUCUCCAAAUGCUGGACAUAAAAAAGUAGGCUGAGCACAAUGGCUCACACCUGUAAUCCCAGCAGUUUGGGAAGCCAAGGUAGGAGGAUCGCUUGAGGCCAGGAGUUCAAGACUAGCCUGGGCAAUAUAGGGAGACCCCAUCUCUACAAUAAAUAAAAAUAAAGGCUUUCAUUUACAAUGAUGGUAGACCAAGAAAUUUGUCCUAGAUCUUCACUGAGAAUAUCUAUAAAAGCUGGCAGCUGAACAAAAUUUUAAAAACAUCUGGGCUGGGUGUCCUGGCUCACACCUUUAAUCCCAGCACUUUGGGAGGCCAAGGCGAGGGGAUCACGUGAGCUCGGGAGUUUGAGAACAGCCUCAGCAACAUAGGGAGACCCCAUCUCUUAAAAAAAAAAAAAAGAUAAACUUAAAAUAAAUUAAUUAAAAACACCUGGUUGAAGACAUCAGCGAGCUGGCAACAAUGAAGAAUUCCUAAGGAAACAGAAACUUUGUUAGGGGAGCCGUUUUCCCUUGUGUUGGCCAGUUCUGUAAGUGGUAAGUGAUUGCUCAGAUGUUGAAGGCCAUUUUGAUAACCUCA
Long non-coding RNA from Cercocebus atys (sooty mangabey), 1394 nucleotides. RefSeq lists it as uncharacterized. The record is from RefSeq and is a predicted model, not a curated record. Lineage: Eukaryota; Metazoa; Chordata; Mammalia; Primates; Cercopithecidae. The transcript is spliced from 2 exons.